RNAcentral lists this ribosomal RNA (301 nucleotides) under uncultured bacterium. RNAcentral describes it as "partial 16S ribosomal RNA". It matches the Rfam family "Bacterial small subunit ribosomal RNA", at positions 509 to 807 of the family's 1533-position model. The record is from RNAcentral.
CAGCCGCCGCGGUAAUACGUAGGUGGCAAGCGUUGUCCGGAAUUAUUGGGCGUAAAGGGCUCGCAGGCGGUUUCUUAAGUCUGAUGUGAAAGCCACCGGCUCAACCGGGGAGGGUCAUUGGAAACUGGGAGACUUGAGUGCAGAAGAGGAGAGUGGAAUUCCACGUGUAGCGGUGAAAUGCGUAGAGAUGUGGAGGAACACCAGUGGCGAAGGCGACUCUCUGGUCUGUAACUGACGCUGAGGAGCGAAAGCGUGGGGAGCGAACAGGAUUAGAUACCCCGGUAGUCCCUGUCUCUUAUAC